UGAACGCUGGCGGCAGGCCUACCACAUGCACGUCGAACGGUAACAGGAAGAAGCUUGCUUCUUUGCUGACGAGUGGCGGACGGGUGAGUAAUGUCUGGGAAACUGCCUGAUGGAGGGGGAUAACUACUGGAAACGGUAGCUAAUACCGCAUAACGUCGCAAGACCAAAGAGGGGGACCUUCGGGCCUCUUGCCAUCGGAUGUGCCCAGAUGGGAUUAGCUAGUAGGUGGGGUAACGGCUCACCUAGGCGACGAUCCCUAGCUGGUCUGAGAGGAUGACCAGCCACACUGGAACUGAGACACGGUCCAGACUCCUACGGGAGGCAGCAGUGGGGAAUAUUGCACAAUGGGCGCAAGCCUGAUGCAGCCAUGCCGCGUGUAUGAAGAAGGCCUUCGGGUUGUAAAGUACUUUCAGCGGGGAGGAAGGGAGUAAAGUUAAUACCUUUGCUCAUUGACGUUACCCGCAGAAGAAGCACCGGCUAACUCCGUG
RNAcentral lists this ribosomal RNA (488 nucleotides) under uncultured bacterium. Its description in RNAcentral is "partial 16S ribosomal RNA". It matches the Rfam family "Bacterial small subunit ribosomal RNA", at positions 30 to 507 of the family's 1533-position model. The record is from RNAcentral.